UUUUAUAUUUGUUUGUCUUGUAUGUGCAAUCCAUAAUCACUACAUACGGGAAUGUGUUGAACAGUUUGAUAGCAUUUGGAUGAGCCCAAAAUACAUCUCUAAUGACUUCCGAUCCAGGCUCAUGUCUUUCAAAGUGGACGUACUUGUCACCGUCCAACUUCUUCAACAAGUGUUGCAUUUCUGUCUAUGACCCGCGGAGGGAUUUUCUUAACCUCUUGCAAGCACCAUAAAUCUGAGAUAUGGUAGUCAAGUUUAAAGGAUUGUUUUCCUUCAAAGUCAACAACAUCUUUCUCGGUGGAACCCA
RNAcentral lists this long non-coding RNA (304 nucleotides) under Lotus japonicus. RNAcentral describes it as "long non-coding RNA (LJAP_LNC002042)". The record is from RNAcentral. Lineage: Eukaryota; Viridiplantae; Streptophyta; Magnoliopsida; Fabales; Fabaceae.